Molecule: ribosomal RNA, 253 nt
Filed under: uncultured bacterium
Lineage: Bacteria
Description: partial 16S ribosomal RNA
Rfam family: Bacterial small subunit ribosomal RNA
Source: RNAcentral
UACAUGUGGGGCAAGCGUUGUUCGGAAUUACUGGGCAUAAAGGGUGCGUAGGCGGCUUGUUAAGUCAGGGGUGAAAGUUUUCGGCCCAACCGGAAAAUUGCCUUUGAUACUGGCGAGCUGGAGUGCGUGAGGGGUGACCGGAACGAGUGGUGUAGCGGUGAAAUGCGUAGAUAUCGGGAGGAACACCAGUGGCGAAGGCGGCGACCUGGGCCAAUAUUGACGCUGAGGUGCGAAAGCGUGGGGAGCAAACAGG